UUUGUUUUUCCCUGCAGAGAUCUGAUUUUGUUUAGCACAGUGUCGUCCCCAAAAGCAGCUUCCUUUGAGGACGGUGCUGUUAAUAUUUUAUUUCUAAACCAGUCUUCUGAAAAAUAGCAGAGCUUCAGCAAGGAGCUCUAGUAUUUCCCAUCUGCCAGCAGAAAUCCUGCCUGAGCCGCACUGCAGUGCAUUGGAUGAUUCACUUUAGUUUUUGGAUCAGAGCAGCUUCUUCACUCUGCUCUCGUUCUUCACUAGGGAGUAAAUUGGGAUUAAGAGACAGAAGCCUUGAGAGCAAGAUCUCGCUCAUUAAUACAGAGAGAGUCCAUCUGUGUGGUGAAUGACCAGGAGCAGCUGGAGACAUGAGAUCAAGACCACAAGGGAGAGUUGCAGGAGGCAUCGCAAGCAGAGCUUUGAUGCUGCUGAUCAGAGAUGGACCUUGGUGAAAACUGGGAGCUGGAUGAAGCCAACUGGUUGUCUCAUGGCGGGAUCCAUCCCUUUGUCGGCGUGAAAGGAGACAAUGAGCUCUCUGAAGGUUCACCAGCUCUGUUUGCUCGGGAUCAGCUGGGUAAGUCCACAUGCAGUACUUCUUCAUCAUUCUUUUUUCUUCUGUGCUCAGUAGAGCAAUUAGGAGAUGACUCAGUUGAAACUCAGGGCAGAUGCCAAAUGCUUUCCACUGCUGAAAUGCAUCAUUACCAGUUCGUUUUUCCAUGUUGCUUUUGAACAACAUCCAUCAGAGGGAAGGACUGCUCAACAUUAGAGGUGCUCAGCAUCUUUCUGUGUGAAAUGUGUGCAGAAUUUCUUCCUGGUAGAGGAGCUGCCACUUGCCCAGUUCAGCACUUUGGGAUACUUGUGAGAUCUGGGCUGGAAACCCUGGCUGGCAUUUUGUGACUCUCUGACACCUUGCAACAGAGUGAGAGGGCUUUUUUUUUUAACCCUGGGAGCCAGAAGUAGAGGUGUGGAAAGCAAUCCUAACAUCAGUGAGUAUCUCUGAAUGAAUUAGAGGUGGGGUGAGGAGAUGAACUGUGAGUUGGACAGGGGGACAUCAAGGUACCAGUCCCUCCUGAGACCAUACAGGAAGGCUAUGGAUGUAGCACAUGGAAAUUCUCAGGUUAAGGCAGAUGGGGAGAUGCUGGGCUCAGAUCUGUGACUGCCGUGGGACUGCCCAGCAUGGUGCCCAUCACUACUGGCAGAGCACCAGCACUCCUCCCCAGGGAAAGGUCACCUUCUCUUCAGUUCACAGGCGAUGGUUUCCCCACUGCUCUUGAAAUCCAUCUCGGCCCCAGUAAGGAUGCUCAGUGUGAAUGUGCUGGGCUGCUCACUGCAUGAGGCACUGGAGGUAGGAGGGUAAAAGUCCAGGAAUCCAGAAUGGUGAUUGUUGUCAUGUGCAUCUGCCAGAAACCACUGCUGCUAAGAGCCAGAAUCUUGAAAAGGUCCUACAAAUAGCAGAAUGCCCAUGAACUGCAUGAUGCUUUGCUGGCUCCAGAGCAGGUGACUGGGUCACCAGCUGUCCUCAUGGGCAGCUUCAUACAUACAAUUGCAUUUUAAAGAAGUUCUUGUGAGCCUUCUCCACUUGGUGUCAGGAUAGACACUGCUUUAGUGCAGUCUCUAUGGCCACGUGGGUGUCUAACAGGGAAUGGGAGUAAAGCCAGCAGACUCCCCUUGGCUGCCUCAUUCACUGCCCAGCUGAUUUAAAACAAAUGCAGUUACUUUAAAACACAUU
Long non-coding RNA from Coturnix japonica (Japanese quail), 1720 nucleotides. The record is from Ensembl. Lineage: Eukaryota; Metazoa; Chordata; Aves; Galliformes; Phasianidae.